Molecule: ribosomal RNA, 500 nt
Filed under: uncultured bacterium
Lineage: Bacteria
Description: partial 16S ribosomal RNA
Rfam family: Bacterial small subunit ribosomal RNA
Source: RNAcentral
AUUGAACGCUGGCGGCAUGCCUUACACAUGCAAGUCGAACGGCAGCACGGGAGCAAUCCUGGUGGCGAGUGGCGAACGGGUGAGUAAUAUAUCGGAACGUGCCCAGUCGUGGGGGAUAACGCAGCGAAAGCUGUGCUAAUACCGCAUACGAUCUAAGGAUGAAAGCGGGGGAUCGCAAGACCUCGCGCGAUUGGAGCGGCCGAAAUCAGAUUCGCUAGUUGGUGGGGUAAAGGCCCACCAAGGCGACGAUCUGUAGCUGGUCUGAGAGGACGACCAGCCACACUGGAAAUGAGACACGGUCCAGACUCCUACGGGAGGCAGCAGUGGGGAAUUUUGGACAAUGGGCGCAAGCCUGAUCCAGCAAUGCCGCGUGCAGGAUGAAGGCCUUCGGGUUGUAAACUGCUUUUGUACGGAACGAAACGGCCCUUUCUAAUACAGGGGGCUAAUGACGGUACCGUAAGAAUAAGCACCGGCUAACUACGUGCCAGCCGCCGCCGUAA